CCGCACCCGCUGCGGCUCCCACCCUCCCCGCACCCGCGCACGCCGCUGUUCCCUCCUCCACCUGCAGGCCAUGCCGAGCCCGCAGUCUCCCUCUGCAAGAUCGCUCCGGAGCCUGCUGUCCUCCUCCACCUACAACAGCUCGUCCCCUUUUGAGGAUGAAUAGCUCGCGGUAACCGACGGCUGGGCUCAACGGCAUUCCUAUAUCCCCCAUCUCCUCCCCUCUAGCGAUUGCAGAGGCGACGACAGCUACGCUGCCGGAGGGACGACCUGGAGGUGAAGACUACUCCUCUCUCGCAUGUGUGGUACUCCCCUUUCCCUCUGCUAUGCGGUAGCGACCCGGAGGUCGGCGUGGGAUAUGCAAUGGUCCUGCCCGAAAUCUCCGGAUACAACGGCCUUCUCUUGUACCCAUCUCCAUUGUCGUAGUUCUUAUCGCUGGUGAGCCCUCGCUCCUCCUAUUAUUCCCUCUUCUCCUUGAGUUUCUAAAUCUCUAGGUUAGGGUUCUUUGUUUUGGGAUGUGGUGCAGAGCAAGAUGAAGAAAGAAAGGGAGUUUCGUACUACCUGUAGGUAAUGGGUGAUGUUGGGGAACUGGAGAUUGGCAUCUGGCCAUGGAAUUAAUGCAGGUGGAGGUGGAGAUAAUACAGAAGAAGAAGAAUAUGUGGAUGACAGAGAAGAAGAUGAGGAGCUCAAGUCUACAGACGGGGAACCAUGUUACAGUCUCUUUUUCGUUCCCGCAAAAGGAAAUUUUAAUGGAGGGUGCUUAAUUAGCCGUUCCCUUCCUUAGUGGAGGCUGCUUAUUUUAAUAUGUUGACUGAAAAAAAUUGGCUUCAUUCAAUUUUCUGCUCCUUUUCAUUUGGAGCUAAGAUUCGUGCUGAAAUCUCCGUGCGGAUGUGCAAUAAGCUUCUUAGAGACCAAACAAGUCAGCAAAAUGGACAGCAACAAGCCAGGCAACGCACCAUCACACCUCAGGAUGAUCUGAAGCACCCAGUAGAAGUAGAGGACAGGACAGGAGGAGGGAACAAGAAGAUUCGUUUAUCAUUGAUGUUAUGUGUGAUCAACAAAAACUUGUGCUUCUCAUCCAAUCUUUGUCGAACUAUGUUGAUGUGUGAUUAUGCA
Hordeum vulgare subsp. vulgare (domesticated barley) is the source of this 1113-nucleotide long non-coding RNA. RefSeq lists it as uncharacterized. NCBI's taxonomy places the organism in Eukaryota, Viridiplantae, Streptophyta, Magnoliopsida, Poales, Poaceae. The record is from RefSeq and is a predicted model, not a curated record. The transcript is spliced from 5 exons.